AGCGUACACGGUGGAUGCCCUGGCAGUCAGAGGCGAUGAAGGACGUGCUAAUCUGCGAUAAGCGUCGGUAAGGUGAUAUGAACCGUUAUAACCGGCGAUUUCCGAAUGGGGAAACCCAGUGUGAUUCGUCACACUAUCAUUAACUGAAUCCAUAGGUUAAUGAGGCGAACCGGGGGAACUGAAACAUCUAAGUACCCCGAGGAAAAGAAAUCAACCGAGAUUCCCCCAGUAGCGGCGAGCGAACGGGGAGCAGCCCAGAGCCUGAAUCAGUGUGUGUGUUAGUGGAAGCGUCUGGAAAGGCGCGCGAUACAGGGUGACAGCCCCGUACACAAAAAUGCACAUGCUGUGAGCUCGAUGAGUAGGGCGGGACACGUGGUAUCCUGUCUGAAUAUGGGGGGACCAUCCUCCAAGGCUAAAUACUCCUGACUGACCGAUAGUGAACCAGUACCGUGAGGGAAAGGCGAAAAGAACCCCGGCGAGGGGAGUGAAAAAGAACCUGAAACCGUGUACGUACAAGCAGUGGGAGCACGCUUAGGCGUGUGACUGCGUACCUUUUGUAUAAUGGGUCAGCGACUUAUAUUCUGUAGCAAGGUUAACCGAAUAGGGGAGCCGAAGGGAAACCGAGUCUUAACUGGGCGUUAAGUUGCAGGGUAUAGACCCGAAACCCGGUGAUCUAGCCAUGGGCAGGUUGAAGGUUGGGUAACACUAACUGGAGGACCGAACCGACUAAUGUUGAAAAAUUAGCGGAUGACUUGUGGCUGGGGGUGAAAGGCCAAUCAAACCGGGAGAUAGCUGGUUCUCCCCGAAAGCUAUUUAGGUAGCGCCUCGUGAAUUCAUCUCCGGGGGUAGAGCACUGUUUCGGCAAGGGGGUCAUCCCGACUUACCAACCCGAUGCAAACUGCGAAUACCGGAGAAUGUUAUCACGGGAGACACACGGCGGGUGCUAACGUCCGUCGUGAAGAGGGAAACAACCCAGACCGCCAGCUAAGGUCCCAAAGUCAUGGUUAAGUGGGAAACGAUGUGGGAAGGCCCAGACAGCCAGGAUGUUGGCUUAGAAGCAGCCAUCAUUUAAAGAAAGCGUAAUAGCUCACUGGUCGAGUCGGCCUGCGCGGAAGAUGUAACGGGGCUAAACCAUGCACCGAAGCUGCGGCAGCGACGCUGAUGCGUUGUUGGGUAGGGGAGCGUUCUGUAAGCCUGCGAAGGUGUGCUGUGAGGCAUGCUGGAGGUAUCAGAAGUGCGAAUGCUGACAUAAGUAACGAUAAAGCGGGUGAAAAGCCCGCUCGCCGGAAGACCAAGGGUUCCUGUCCAACGUUAAUCGGGGCAGGGUGAGUCGACCCCUAAGGCGAGGCCGAAAGGCGUAGUCGAUGGGAAACAGGUUAAUAUUCCUGUACUUGGUGUUACUGCGAAGGGGGGACGGAGAAGGCUAUGUUGGCCGGGCGACGGUUGUCCCGGUUUAAGCGUGUAGGCUGGUUUUCCAGGCAAAUCCGGAAAAUCAAGGCUGAGGCGUGAUGACGAGGCACUACGGUGCUGAAGCAACAAAUGCCCUGCUUCCAGGAAAAGCCUCUAAGCAUCAGGUAACAUCAAAUCGUACCCCAAACCGACACAGGUGGUCAGGUAGAGAAUACCAAGGCGCUUGAGAGAACUCGGGUGAAGGAACUAGGCAAAAUGGUGCCGUAACUUCGGGAGAAGGCACGCUGAUAUGUAGGUGAAGUCCCUCGCGGAUGGAGCUGAAAUCAGUCGAAGAUACCAGCUGGCUGCAACUGUUUAUUAAAAACACAGCACUGUGCAAACACGAAAGUGGACGUAUACGGUGUGACGCCUGCCCGGUGCCGGAAGGUUAAUUGAUGGGGUCAGCGCAAGCGAAGCUCUUGAUCGAAGCCCCGGUAAACGGCGGCCGUAACUAUAACGGUCCUAAGGUAGCGAAAUUCCUUGUCGGGUAAGUUCCGACCUGCACGAAUGGCGUAAUGAUGGCCAGGCUGUCUCCACCCGAGACUCAGUGAAAUUGAACUCGCUGUGAAGAUGCAGUGUACCCGCGGCAAGACGGAAAGACCCCGUGAACCUUUACUAUAGCUUGACACUGAACAUUGAGCCUUGAUGUGUAGGAUAGGUGGGAGGCUUUGAAGUGUGGACGCCAGUCUGCAUGGAGCCGACCUUGAAAUACCACCCUUUAAUGUUUGAUGUUCUAACGUUGACCCGU
RNAcentral lists this ribosomal RNA (2197 nucleotides) under Escherichia coli. RNAcentral's name for it is "bacterial LSU rRNA". It matches the Rfam family "Bacterial large subunit ribosomal RNA", at positions 14 to 2236 of the family's 2925-position model. The record is from RNAcentral. Lineage: Bacteria; Pseudomonadati; Pseudomonadota; Gammaproteobacteria; Enterobacterales; Enterobacteriaceae.